UAAGGCAAAAAGCUGAACCGAGACUGUCCUCUUCUGGCCAGGACAAACAUUACAUCUUUAACGCAACAUAUCCAUACUUCAUUAUACUUUUUCAUGAGUAGAAUACAGUGUGGAGCUGAAGGCUGGCUGAGAUCCAGAGGAACACAUGUGGUUAAUGAUAAGGUGCCGCUUAGAUAAAUCAGCUGCUUUCUGACAAGUUUUAAGUCAAGGAAUGUCCAAUCCCAUUUUGUAGUGACCUUUCUUUCUGUUUUAAAAAUGUUUUCUUUGAAUUGUUUGACUACUCCAAAGAGAAUACAGGAAAAUAUAACUUAGGCUACUUAAUUUGUGUUUUUACCAGCUAAAUUUCAAUUUAAUUUCAUACUUAGGCGAAAAUCUGGCUCUAAAUCUCUCUUUUCUUUACUCAAAGUUGAUCUAGACACGUUUAUGGAAACUAUCCAAAGCUCUGUUAAUACUAAAGCAGUGAAAACUGAACCUCUAUCCUCGGUGUCCUCUUAAGGUGUACAUUUAUUUAUGUAUUUGUUUGUUUGUUUGAUAACCUGGCAACACAUCCCUUAUGAAAAUUAACCAAAAUAAAAAAAAAACAUACUACACUUUUACCAUGAUAAAACCAUGGUUAAUUUUCUUCAGGGAUUUGUAUUUGUGUAUACUUACUUUCUUUCUUUUGUCUGUUUUUAACUGUACUGCCUUAGUGGUUUGAUGUUUUGUAACCUUUAAUAAAAAAUACACAAUUUGGGGUUCUAUAUAGAACCCUAGGGUUCUUUACUCAACUCAAAAGAACCGUUUAUGCCAAAAAGGUUCUAUAAGGAGAAAGAACCCUUUUUGGCACAAAAGGGUUCUUUGGGCUAAACCAUGCUUUUUAUGUAUGUUUACACAUUAGGCUAUUUAAAAUUAUUAUACUACAUUAUAUUUGUGCUUUUAUUUCAAUUUUACUUUGACACACCUUUAUUCCAAAAAAAAAAUCUACUUAAAAUUGACGUCUGCACUGACAAUUAUAUAACAUAUUAUUAUAACAAACUGAUCAGGUAAAUAGGCAAGGUGUUCUAGCAGUGCAUAGCAAUCCGGACAGUUUUAUCUAUGUAUUAAUAGGUACAGGCUAGUCUUCUAUUUUAUGAUUGCAAGUUCUAGUUAUCAUGUCAUGUAAUAUGCCUUGCAGCUCUUUUAUUGACGAGCAACAUGCUCAUAUGGAGUUUCAGUGUUUCAUUUAGAUUCUAAAAGGCUAUUCUUGUAACUCACCCCUCCAAACAGAUGCAUAAAAUGAUCUUUGACAUAAGCGGCAAACAAUUUGAACGAGUAUCUAUGCGAUGAUCAGUUUUGUCCCGUCUGCACAGCGCCGCAUUUCAGUAGCGAGACUCUCGCGAGAGUGGCCUUUUAAAAGCGCGCGGGCGCCGCUGUUUAAACUUCAACGGUUCACGGUGCGCUGACUGCUCUCAGCGCUCGGGAGAACGACGAUUACAUUCAAGCUAAAAGAAGAAGGUGGUUUAUGGCGUUGUCCAGGCCUGCGCUAUUCUCCGCCGGGAGGUUGUAUUGGACCUAUACGUAACGUUAUAGGAAAAGAUGGAAAAAAAUCGCUGUCAGACUGCUGUUAUAAACACGAAUUCAAACCAAGAAGAACAAAGAGAGAAGCUGAUGGAGAUAUUUCCUUUUUUUUCUGUGGAUAACUAUGUUCAUCUAUCUCAGAGAGCACUUUUAAAGUUAUCAGAGAGCUGAAAAGUGGAAGUCAGAGGAAACAUGACCAACCUGCUGCAAAACAGUAACACAAAAGGUUCUUAUGAUCGGUAGAUAAAUAAAUAAAUAUUUUGCACUGUCGCUGCAGGUCUGGACUCUGGAGUGCAGCGUUACUUGUUUGGUCAUCAACAUUCAGAUGAAAACAACACACUCCUCUCUAAUUCAAGUACAUUUUAAGAUUUGAUUUAAUUGUGAGAGAUUCCCUUCUUUUUCCUGUACUCUCUGACUUGUAUCCCAAUCUUAGGAUGUCAUCGCAAAGAGAGCUAGCAUCAAAAUGGAUGUGUCAUUGACCAAUAACACAGAGAUGCCAGAAGUAUCUGUUUGCAGUCUACUUUUUGUUCAGUAUGGAGCAUCCAAAAUCCAUCACUCAGUUAAUUUCAAUCAGCACUAUUUAGCCCUUCCAGUGCUGAAAUUGUCAUGGGUCCUUUGUUUUUAUUGUUUAAAUGCUUAUCUGAAUGUAAAAUUAAUAUUUAAUGCUUAUAAAAUGCAAAA
Onychostoma macrolepis is the source of this 2217-nucleotide long non-coding RNA. RefSeq lists it as uncharacterized. The transcript is spliced from 5 exons. The record is from RefSeq and is a predicted model, not a curated record. Lineage: Eukaryota; Metazoa; Chordata; Actinopteri; Cypriniformes; Cyprinidae.